CCCAAGCGGGACUAGGACGCGGCCACGGCGGCGCCGAGCCUGCCCGGGCCUCCCUCGUGCCUUGGUAGAGUCGAUCCGCACUCAGUCUGACCCAGGACGUCACUCUGCCUGUCUGUUUUCUCAAUGAUAACUUGGCAGGAGAAGGGGGAAGCUGGCAAGGUGCUGGGUUCUCCCCCCAUCCUUUCCUUCCCUCUCUCCCGGCUCUGAGAUCAUUACUUGAAUGUAGACCAAAGGAAAAGAUACAGCUACUUGGAACAGAUUCUUCAUCCCAACUAAGAUUUUUCCACCAAAGAAAAUCAAGACCAAUAAGAGUAUCCCUGUCUAAGCUGAAUCCAACCAAGAGCUGAUGAAGAGCAUGGAGACGGAUAGAGGUGCACUGAGCAUAGUUUGGAUUUCCACCCCUAAGUUUAUAUAUAAAACAUCUUCUGGAUUGCCUCAAAGAUCUUUUUAUUUAAUUGUCCCUCACAUCCUUGCUCAGCACAAAUCAAGUUGUUCAGUUAUAGAAAGAAACAUUCUGUGAAAAAGUCAAACUUCUAAGUUAAACUUUUAAAUUUUACAAAGCAAGCCACCAUAAUGCCUGUACAAGAUUAUGCUUACUGUAUAUAAAAAGAGGUAAGGUAGAUUUUUUGGACAUAGGUGACUGCAAGAUGAGAAGAGUAAAACAAAGUUCUGGCUUUCAUAUAAUCAUUUUAAUGCAAAAGAUAAUUCACAUUUUAAGGCAGAGACAGGUAAACUGUAACUUUUCCCUUUACCCAUCAACCUAUCCAAGCUGUUUUUGUGGUGUUCACCUUUCACACACUUUCAAUGUUCUGCGUGUUGUCGAAGGCUUUCACGGCUGGAAUCACUGGGUUGCUGUGAGUUUUCCAAGCUGUAUAGGCAUGUUCCAGAAGCAUUCUCUCCUGAUGUUUGGCCCCCAUCCUCAGAGGUUGUGAGGUCUCUUGGAAACCAGGCAAGU
Molecule: long non-coding RNA, 955 nt
Organism: Anolis carolinensis (green anole)
Lineage: Eukaryota; Metazoa; Chordata; Lepidosauria; Squamata; Anolidae
Exons: 3
Source: RefSeq, a predicted model, not a curated record